UGGAUCUUUAUCAACUAGAUGGCUAGGAAUCAAGUUGAAGCCGUGACUGGCCUUCCUGGAAAUGCGCUUGGUGGCAUUUAAAGAUUGCUCAUCCGCUGAAUUUUGGGUAGGAGGACGACGAAGGAGAGCUUGACGAAGGAUUCCCCAUCUCAGAGAAGCUGCUUUUGCAUUUGCUAUGCCUUCUGUUUUAUCCAUAUACUGUCAAUUUGAAGUUG
RNAcentral lists this unclassified non-coding RNA (215 nucleotides) under Hevea brasiliensis (rubber tree). The record is from RNAcentral. Lineage: Eukaryota; Viridiplantae; Streptophyta; Magnoliopsida; Malpighiales; Euphorbiaceae.